UACGUAGGGGGCAAGCGUUGUCCGGAAUCAUUGGGCGUAAAGCGUCUGUAGGUGGCUUUUCAAGUCCGCCGUCAAAUCCCAGGGCUCAACCCUGGACAGGCGGUGGAAACUACCAAGCUGGAGUACGGUAGGGGCAGAGGGAAUUUCCGGUGGAGCGGUGAAAUGCAUUGAGAUCGGAAAGAACACCAACGGCGAAAGCAGUGUCCUGGGGAGUACCUGACGCUCAGGUGCGAAAGCCAGGGGAGCGAACGGG
RNAcentral lists this ribosomal RNA (253 nucleotides) under uncultured bacterium. Its description in RNAcentral is "partial 16S ribosomal RNA". It matches the Rfam family "Bacterial small subunit ribosomal RNA", at positions 524 to 776 of the family's 1533-position model. The record is from RNAcentral.